Molecule: long non-coding RNA, 266 nt
Organism: Coregonus clupeaformis (lake whitefish)
Lineage: Eukaryota; Metazoa; Chordata; Actinopteri; Salmoniformes; Salmonidae
Exons: 3
Source: RefSeq, a predicted model, not a curated record
GAGGGGAGUGGAACCUCAACCCAACAUGUUAUCGUGAUAGAGUCUGCAGAUGCAGAGGCUGCAGGUCUUGGAGUCAAGCAGGAGACGUCUGAAAGAGAGGAGGACCUACGACACAGCAGAGACAUCCAGAUUGGAGCAGCGCCUGGAGUGGUGCCCCCUGUAGCCAUCGAGGACUUCACCACCACCACUGCGCCCCAGGCCAGGUCCCGAUUUAGCAUCACGGAGGAGGAGGAGGAUCCAGAGGUGCUGCUGGUGAAGGAGGAGGG